RNAcentral lists this ribosomal RNA (253 nucleotides) under uncultured bacterium. RNAcentral describes it as "partial 16S ribosomal RNA". It matches the Rfam family "Bacterial small subunit ribosomal RNA", at positions 524 to 776 of the family's 1533-position model. The record is from RNAcentral.
UACGCGUGCUCCAAGCGUUAUCCGGAAUUACUGGGCGUAAAGGGUGUGUAGGCGGUUUUGUUUGUCAGUUGUUAAAGCCCCGGGCUUAACCCGGGAAGUGCAAUUGAAACGGCAAAUCUAGAGGAUGCGAGAGGUGAACAGAACUCAUGGUGUAGGGGUGAAAUCCGUUGAUAUCAUGGGGAAUACCAAAUGCGAAGGCAGUUCACUGGCGCACUCCUGACGCUGAAACACGAAAGCGUGGGUAGCGAAUGGG